RNAcentral lists this ribosomal RNA (442 nucleotides) under Tetracladium globosum. RNAcentral's name for it is "eukaryotic LSU rRNA". The stretch from base 78 to 231 matches the Rfam family "5.8S ribosomal RNA". The record is from RNAcentral. Lineage: Eukaryota; Fungi; Ascomycota; Leotiomycetes; Helotiales.
CUUCGGCUGGUAAGUGCCCGCCAGAGGACCCAAAACCCUGAAUAUUAGUGUCGUCUGAGUAAAAUUUUAAUAUUUAAAACUUUCAACAACGGAUCUCUUGGCUCUGGCAUCGAUGAAGAACGCAGCGAAAUGCGAUAAGUAAUGUGAAUUGCAGAAUUCAGUGAAUCAUCGAAUCUUUGAACGCACAUUGCGCCCCUUGGUAUUCCGAGGGGCAUGCCUAUUCGAGCGUCAUUAUCACCCCUCAAGCUUCGGCUUGGUGUUGAGGCCUGCUGUAAAGGCACCCUCUAAAAUCAGUGGCAGUGCUGUCAGGCUCUAAGCGUAGUAAUUUUAUCGCUAUAGGGUCCUGGUGGAUACUCGUCAAAACCCCCCCAUUUUUUAAUGAUUGACCUCGGAUUAGGUAGGGAUACCCGCUGAACUUAAGCAUAUCAAUAAGCGGAGGAAU